This 74-nucleotide transfer RNA is filed under the name Callithrix jacchus (white-tufted-ear marmoset). RNAcentral's name for it is "tRNA-Ile (GAT) (tRNA-Ile-GAT-1-1)". It matches the Rfam family "tRNA". Rfam says of the family: Transfer RNA (tRNA) molecules are approximately 80 nucleotides in length. Their secondary structure includes four short double-helical elements and three loops (D, anti-codon, and T loops). Further hydrogen bonds mediate the characteristic L-shaped molecular structure. tRNAs have two regions of fundamental functional importance: the anti-codon, which is responsible for specific mRNA codon recognition, and the 3' end, to which the tRNAs corresponding amino acid is attached (by aminoacyl-tRNA synthetases). tRNAs cope with the degeneracy of the genetic code in two manners: having more than one tRNA (with a specific anti-codon) for a particular amino acid; and 'wobble' base-pairing, i.e. permitting non-standard base-pairing at the 3rd anti-codon position. The record is from Rfam by way of RNAcentral. Lineage: Eukaryota; Metazoa; Chordata; Mammalia; Primates; Cebidae.
GGUCGGUUAGCUCAGUUGGUAAGAGCGUGGUGCUGAUAACACCAAGGUCGCGGGUUCGACUCCCGCACCGACCA